Oncorhynchus tshawytscha (Chinook salmon) is the source of this 571-nucleotide long non-coding RNA. The record is from Ensembl. NCBI's taxonomy places the organism in Eukaryota, Metazoa, Chordata, Actinopteri, Salmoniformes, Salmonidae.
CUCCAUCUUUCAAGUCGAAAGCUGUAUCACUUCGCAUCAAGACAGCGAGAGAAAUAAAUCUAACAAUUUCCUCAACCGCCGCCGACAUGUCAUCUACCAGCGAGAGCAGGUACACCUAUGAGCAGUACAAGGAGACAGCUGAUUGGCUGCUGGAGCAUACACAGCACAUGCCCAAUGUGGCCAUCAUCUGUGGUUCUGGACUGUGAGGGCUGGCAGACUUACUGGAGAAUAGUGUAGCCUUCCCUUAUAAAGACAUCCCUCACUUCCCUCAGAGCACAGGUACAGUAUCCACACAUAACAUUGAGGACUGCUUACCUCUGACACUGUGUUGUGAGUCUGUAGCUUAACAUCUUAUUCACUUCAAAGUACAUGACUACAUUGCAUAAUAAAGUUCUAAAGCCAUGUCAUCAACAUUGUAUUUAUUCCUCUGUUCCCCAUCAUGUCUUUGUGUAGGAUUGUUUAUGUUACCUGUAUUUUGAUAUUGUGGAUAUUGUUACGUGCAUUACUUUUUGUCUAUGUUCUGUGUUUUGGGCACAUUUUAUGUUAUUUUGUGCUGUCAUUUUGACCGGAA